GGGGGGGGGGGGGGGGGGGCGGGGGGCGGGCGGGGGGGGCGCCCCGGGAGGGGGGUGGGGGACUGGUGAGUAGCGCGUGGGAGCGUGGCCUUUUCUCCGGAAUCGCUCUGUGACACUGGCAUUAAUCCCGUAUACGCCCUACGGGGGCAAGAUUUAUCGGGGAAGGAUUUGCCCGCGUUGGAUUAGCUAGUUGGUGGGUUAAAGGCCUACCAAGUCGACGAUCCAUAGCUGGUCUGAGAGGAUGAUCAGCCACAUUGGGACUGAGACACGGCCCAAACUCCUACGGGAGGCAGCAGUGGGGAAUAUUGGACAAUGGGCGCAAGCCUGAUCCAGCCAUGCCGCGUGAGUGAUGAAGGCCUUAGGGUUGUAAAGCUCUUUCACCGAUGAAGAUAAUGACGGUAGUCGGAGAAGAAGCCACGGCUAACUUCGUG
RNAcentral lists this ribosomal RNA (431 nucleotides) under uncultured bacterium. RNAcentral describes it as "partial 16S ribosomal RNA". It matches the Rfam family "Bacterial small subunit ribosomal RNA", at positions 35 to 507 of the family's 1533-position model. The record is from RNAcentral.